RNAcentral lists this long non-coding RNA (3216 nucleotides) under Sus scrofa (pig). Its description in RNAcentral is "lncRNA (ENSSSCG00040054186.1)". The record is from RNAcentral. Lineage: Eukaryota; Metazoa; Chordata; Mammalia; Artiodactyla; Suidae.
UUUUUUAAAGUCUGUACCCAUGACAUAUGGAAGUUCCUAGGCUGGGGGUCGAAUCAGAGCUACAGCUGCCAGCCUAAGCUAGAGCCACAGCAAAAUGGGAUCUGAGCCACAUCUGCAACCUUCCCCACGGCUCAUGACAAUGCUGGAUCCCUGACCCACUGAGCAGUUCAGGGAUCAGACUUACAUCCUCAUGGGAUACUAGUCGGAAUCAUUUCUACUGCCCCACAAUGGGAAUUCCUUAGCUGUGUGUCAUUAAAGUGAAUCUGCCGAGAAAUUGGCUCAUUGACAAACUAAAUAUAAAGCCAUGAGGAAAUGGGAAAUCUGUUUCUAAUUAGUUUAAGGUGUACUGCAACGUUGGUAGCAUGAAGAAUAGAUGAGAUGAUGGAGCAGCAAGGAAGAGAGGAUUUAGUUGUUUUAUGUGCACUGGAGUGCUGUUUUAUGAUUGUGUCCUGGGUUGGAACUGAUGCUAUUAUGCUGGAGAACUAGUGAAUUUGGUCCUCUGACUCCAGAUGCUUCAGGCGCUACAUACACAAAUAUUUUUGUUUCCUUUCCAUAUUCCUCUCUUUAUUGGGGAAAGUUCAUUUUAAUCCCAUAUAUAUAUCAGGUUAGAGGACAAUAAAAUAAGAGAGAACCUCAUUAGAGAGUAGCAAAUGUCUGUCCAGGGUCUGUGGUUAACAGUAGCAUCUCCCAGGUCCAAACUCACUCUUUAACUUACAGUUUUUUCACUGUAAGCCAGAAAAGGCUCUAGUUCCUCAAGCAUGAGAAGCAACUAAAUGAUAUUUAUUUAUUUAUUUAUUUAGUAUUUUAGGACUGCACCUGAAGUAUAUGGAAGUUCCCAUGCUAGGCAUUGAAUUGGAGCUGCAAUUGCCAGCCUACACCACAGUCACAGCAAUGGGAGAUCCAAGCCAUGUCUGUGACCUUCACCCCAACUCAUAGCAACACCGGAUCUUUACCCACUGAGUGAGGCCAGAGAUUGAACCUAUUUCCUCAUGGAUACUAGUCAGGUUCAUUUCUGCUGAGCCACAAGGGGAGCUCCCAAUAAUUAAUUGUUGAUGUAUAUGUACAUUAUCCAUGAUAACAAUAAUAACAUGGAGAAUAAUAAUCACAGAGUCCAUUAGUGCACAUAAAUCCUGUGUUCCCUCUGCUACUCCCGGCCUGGAGCCCAUGACCAGUUGUGUCAAUACACCUAGGGCUUUAGUAAUGUUCUCUCCUGAAAAAUGACACCUUGUCCCCCCAACCUUCCCCCCCAACACAAAUGCUUCCGUAUAACGGAUGCCAGCUUGCUGUAAUUUUGACUCAUUAAAGCAUGAUUCAGACCAGCCCAUCAUUAUGCUCACUUUCUAAUUACCAGGACUGGACACUUUUAGACAGAAAGAAAAACCACACACUGAGAUCUUUGAUGCUUGAUAUUGACUGACUUUUUAUUCUGGUCGUGAUUUGUUCUUCCUUACAAUUCCUCACCCCAUUCUAGCUUCCUCAGUUUUUAUAUAUAUAUGUUUUUUCUUCCAAUUCCACAGCAAGAAGACAUAAUGCCUCAGCAAGAUUUAAUAUGUAAAAUCUUUCCCCCUUAUUCCUCAUCCUUUCCUUUAUCAUUAGCUCUUUUAAGCCCAGUAGCUGCUAACAGUUACAUUUUUACUGACUGAUGACUUAGCAAAGAGAUCUCAAAUCCACUUAUUUCCAAAUAUUAUUGAGAGCUAUGUCCCAGCUUCCUACCAAGCAGACCAUCUCUGUCCUUUCUUCUCACUUCUACUGUUCCUUUCCUCUUUACAGUCACGAUUUCCCUCUAUUGUCUAUUUCUUCUGUUACUCGUUCUUUUCUUCUUUUUACACUCACUUUUACCCUGUUUCACAUGUAGUGACUUGUACAUUCAUUUCCUCUCCUGAAAAUAAAAUAAGAACUUCAAAGAGGCAUGAAUGAUCUCUCCUGUUUUAAUAAUUAAAGAUGAAUCCUCCACAAAGCUUGCUGUGCUGUUCCCAGUGUUCGCAUUAGAUCAGAAACGGCAUUUUUUAGCCCCCAAAGAAAUAUAUCAGAGUAGUUCCCACCCUGAAAUACAUGGCACGAAGCCCAGCUUUUCCCUGGAACCAGAGUGUUACCAAUGGGUCUGUUUCAAAGUAAGUGUAGUCAGAAUAUGGGCAGGAGGAUUUGAUAGUGUUUGAUAAUUCACAAUUUAACAGCUAAGGAAAGGCGGCUUAUUAUUAAAUGCAAAUAAAACGAAAUGAAGUCCAGCUGUCUGGGUGCAGAUAGAAAUUACACAAAGCCUAUAAGCCACUCUGGAGAUCUUAACUACUCGACAGAACAGAGCUCCGGGAGCUGGCAGCAAGCACAAAUCCCUUCUUUGAAGGGGCCUGCACCCUGUAUUAUCUCCGGAGAAAGACUCGGAUUAUACAGUCAGCUUGGAAAACUAAGGUGUGACUAGAAGCAGGGCAAGCACAGCCACUUCAUGGAAGGCAAACAUGUUUCGAGUUUUAACCUCCAUAGUUCCUAUUGUUACCUUCUCUUUCUGCAGGAUGGUUUUUACUGGCCAAUAGAAAACUGCCAAUUUUCUUAUAGGGUAGAAAGACAGAUUGCCUAGAGCUAAAAGAUACAUAUUAUCCCAGACUACCCAAAUUCAUAACAUUAAUAUAACUGCUUCCAAAUGAUCAAAAGUGCAAACCUGGGAACAUGAUAAUAAUUUCACAUAAAUUGUACAUAUAUAGAUCAAUUAGAUCUAUUUCUAUUUUAAAACAAUGAAAGUACUUCACACCUAUGAAAUUAGACAUCUUUUCCUAUCAGUUCGGCUUCAGGCUUCUGAUGGACAAUAUUUUAGAGGAAAUAUCAAAGCUGGAUCUGCAGAACUGAUUAACUUCAAGAUGGCGGCAGGUUUCAUUUACUGAAAACAAUGUAUUGCAUAUGUUAUUUGCUAAUUCAGAAAACUCUAGGGAUACUUCUUGCCAGGUCAAAUUAACAUCCCUUCUUCAGCAGUUCUACACUGUGUGGCCUAAUUUGGGAUUUCUAUACAUACAUCCCACACAGAUGGGAAGAUCUCAUCUGUGUUUCAAGAGUUUUGUGUUGUUCUCACUUCGUACCUUCUGGGCCUGGGAUACCUCUCCCCUUUGUAAUCAGUGAAAUUUAACACAUGCUUCCAAGCUACUUCAAAUCUCGACUUCUCACCAGACCUUUCCCUAAAUGUACACUUCUCUGAGGGAUUACUGUACCUCCUACACCAGCACUCAUUUU